Molecule: long non-coding RNA, 536 nt
Filed under: Marmota monax (woodchuck)
Lineage: Eukaryota; Metazoa; Chordata; Mammalia; Rodentia; Sciuridae
Source: RNAcentral
GUGCUUUGGCAGAGAUAUUUCCUUUAGAAACAAACUACAGCUCUGAAGUUAAUUCCGACAGUGGCGCUCCAGGAUUAGUGGCCAGUGUCUCAGUCGUGAGUCAUGGUGCUUACAUGAGAAGCCUGUUUGGUUAUUUUCUGACUGACCUUAAGUUUUCCUUGCCAGCAUCUCUGAGAAAAUUUGAACUUUCGUCAGUCACUCCCAAUACUGGGAUCAGUCUCUUCAUCAUAAGCUUUGAGAAAGGAAAAGAACCUAUACCGAAGUGUGUUUGUAUGAACCUACAGGAUCAUCUAAAUGAAGUGACCAAAACACUCUCAGUUUAGAUCUGCAUCAAAAUUCUAACAGUUUUGAGCUUCUGAAGGGAGUGCCUUUGGCUUACUUUAUUUCCGUCCUUUGCUAGUGCUAAUUCGGAAAUAGUUAAAAAUCAUAUUAUAAACUCUUCUGGAAUGUCAGCCACAUCACACAGUAGUGGAAAGCCAUUUAGAAUUGACUUAUGUUGUCUUGAGUGCAGCCUGCUUGAUCCCAUCUCUGAGUGA